ACCGACGUAGCUCAAUUGGUAGAGCAACUGAUUUGUAAUCAGUAGGUUGUAGGUUCGAGUCGCAUCGCUGGCUCCA
Molecule: transfer RNA, 76 nt
Filed under: Desulfosporosinus sp. Sb-LF
Lineage: Bacteria; Bacillati; Bacillota; Clostridia; Eubacteriales; Desulfitobacteriaceae
Description: tRNA-Thr
Rfam family: tRNA
About the family: Transfer RNA (tRNA) molecules are approximately 80 nucleotides in length. Their secondary structure includes four short double-helical elements and three loops (D, anti-codon, and T loops).
Source: RNAcentral